GAGAUGUUGGGUUAAGUCCCGUAACGAGCGCAACCCUUGUCCUUAGUUACCAGCACCGUUAUGGUGGGCACUCUAAGGAGACUGCCGGUGACAAACCGGAGGAAGGUGGGGAUGACGUCAAGUCAUCAUGGCCCUUACGGCCUGGGCUACACACGUGCUACAAUGGUCGGUACAAAGGGUUGCCAAGCCGCGAGGUGGAGCUAAUCCCAUAAAACCGAUCGUAGUCCGGAUCGCAGUCUGCAACUCGACUGCGUGAAGUCGGAAUCGCUAGUAAUCGUGAAUCAGAACUGUCACGGUAGAAUAACGUUCCCGGGCCUU
Molecule: ribosomal RNA, 318 nt
Filed under: uncultured Pseudomonas sp.
Lineage: Bacteria; Pseudomonadati; Pseudomonadota; Gammaproteobacteria; Pseudomonadales; Pseudomonadaceae
Description: bacterial SSU rRNA
Rfam family: Bacterial small subunit ribosomal RNA
Source: RNAcentral